CCCUGGUGAUGAACAACUGAAGAAAAAUCCAUCACUGAGGCACUCAAAGUUUAUAAUCCUUACAAGUGACCUUUCCAUGAACCCAAAUUUAAGGACAUCUUUAAAGGAAAGACUGUGUGAUAUUAUAAUUUCCAGGACUCAAUCUAGAAUUACCUAAUAUAUGAAAAGCCAGGUGAAUGGCAAACACUCUCAAAAGAAAAGGAAAUGAACUGAAACCAGAUGAUCCUGAUAUUCAAAAUCUGCCCAGAACUCUGUCCAGCCCUGGGACAACUCCUUGUGAGGCAGAAGAAAGGGAAACCUUCCUGCAGAUCUUUGAAGAAGCCACUAGACAGGCUGAAGGACAACUACAGUCCUUCGAGAAGAGUCCACUUCCUCUGGCACCAGUGAAUGAACCAGGACUUCGGGGCCAUCCGAACCAUCCUCACUGUCCCUGCUAAUCUUGUGUUUGGGGGAUGACAGGCCAUUUAGAGCACAAAGUUCAUUCUUACCACAGAGCGUCACCUUCUUUCUCCAAGUCUUCCUCUGCCCAUUGCAAGUUUUGAAUAGAUUCUGGUGUUCUGAAAGUCAAUUCCAACACCUUUGCCAGCUCAUUAAUUACUGUUGGGGAGGAACAGAGCUCUAGAAUUAGCAUGCUUAACCCCUUACUCCUCUCUACCUGCAAAUAUACAAAAUAUGUAUUGAUCUGUUUAUUUAUUGCAUACCUUACCCAUCCAAAAAUGAAACC
Molecule: long non-coding RNA, 724 nt
Organism: Lutra lutra (Eurasian river otter)
Lineage: Eukaryota; Metazoa; Chordata; Mammalia; Carnivora; Mustelidae
Exons: 3
Source: RefSeq, a predicted model, not a curated record